GGUAAAAUACUUCUGGCGUGGAGCAUAGGCAGUCAGUUACGACGGGUGAGUAACGCGUGGAUGAUCUACCUAUGAGAUGGGGAUAAUAGGGAAAUAGUAGCUAAUACCGAAUAAGGUCAGUUAAUUUGUUAAAUGAUGAAAGGAAGCCUUUAAAGCUUCGCUUGUAGAUGAGUCUGCGUCUUAUUAGCUAGUUGGUAGGGUAAAUGCCUACCAAGGCAAUGAUAAGUAACCGGCCUGAGAGGGUGAACGGUCACACUGGAACUGAGAUACGGUCCAGACUCCUACGGGAGGCAGCAGCUAAGAAUCUUCCGCAAUGGGCGAAAGCCUGACGGAGCGACACUGCGUGAAUGAAGAAGGUCGAAAGAUUGUAAAAUUCUUUUAUAAAUGAGGAAUAAGCUUUGUAGGAAAUGACAAAGUGAUGACGUUAAUUUAUGAAUAAGCCCCGGCUAAUUACGUGCCAGCAGCCGCGGUAAUACGUAAGGGGCGAGCGUUGUUCGGGAUUAUUGGGCGUAAAGGGUGAGUAGGCGGAUAUAUAAGUCUAUGCAUAAAAUACCACAGCUCAACUGUGGACCUAUGUUGGAAACUAUAUGUCUAGAGUCUGAUAGAGGAAGUUAGAAUUUCUGGUGUAAGGGUGGAAUCUGUUGAUAUCAGAAAGAAUACCGGAGGCGAAGGCGAACUUCUGGGUCAAGACUGACGCUGAGUCACGAAAGCGUAGGGAGCAAACAGGAUUAGAUACCCUGGUAGUCUACGCUGUAAACGAUGCACACUUGGUGUUAACUAAAAGUUAGUACCGAAGCUAACGUGUUAAGUGUGCCGCCUGGGGAGUAUGCUCGCAAGAGUGAAACUCAAAGGGAUUGACGGGGGCCCGCACAAGCGGUGGAGCAUGUGGUUUAAUUCGAUGAUACGCGAGGAACCUUACCAGGGCUUGACAUAUAUAGGAUAUAGUUAGAGAUAAUUAUUCCCCGUUUGGGGUCUAUAUACAGGUGCUGCAUGGUUGUCGUCAGCUCGUGCUGUGAGGUGUUGGGUUAAGUCCCGCUCUGGCAGUGCGUCUUAAGCAGUCCGUGCAUCUGGGAUACUGGG
Molecule: ribosomal RNA, 1080 nt
Filed under: Borreliella burgdorferi (Lyme disease spirochete)
Lineage: Bacteria; Pseudomonadati; Spirochaetota; Spirochaetia; Spirochaetales; Borreliaceae
Description: bacterial SSU rRNA
Rfam family: Bacterial small subunit ribosomal RNA
Source: RNAcentral